UACAGAGGGUGCAAACGUUGUUCGGAAUUACUGGGCGUAAAGCGCGUGUAGGCGGCUUUGCAAGUCGGGUGUGAAAGCCCUCGGCUUAACCGAGGAAGUGCGCCCGAACCGAUAGGCUUGAGGAGGAUAGAGGUAAGCGGAACAGAUGGUGGAGCGGUGAAAUGCGUUGAUAUCAUCUGGAACACCUGUGGCGAAAGCGGCUUACUGGGUCCUUUCUGACGCUGAGGCACGAAAGCCAGGGUAGCGAACGGG
This 252-nucleotide ribosomal RNA is filed under the name uncultured bacterium. RNAcentral's name for it is "partial 16S ribosomal RNA". It matches the Rfam family "Bacterial small subunit ribosomal RNA", at positions 524 to 776 of the family's 1533-position model. The record is from RNAcentral.